UACAGAGGGGGCGAGCGUUGUUCGGAAUUACUGGGCGUAAAGGGCGCGUAGGCGGCCCGCUAAGUCGAACGUGAAAUCCCCAGGCUCAACCUGGGAACUGCGUCCGAUACUGGCAGGCUUGAAUCCGGGAGAGGGAUGUGGAAUUCCAGGUGUAGCGGUGAAAUGCGUAGAUAUCUGGAGGAACACCGGUGGCGAAGGCGGCAUCCUGGACCAACACUGACGCUGAUGAGCGAAAGCCAGGGGAGCAAACGGG
RNAcentral lists this ribosomal RNA (253 nucleotides) under uncultured bacterium. RNAcentral describes it as "partial 16S ribosomal RNA". It matches the Rfam family "Bacterial small subunit ribosomal RNA", at positions 524 to 776 of the family's 1533-position model. The record is from RNAcentral.